This 405-nucleotide ribosomal RNA is filed under the name Triticum aestivum (bread wheat). RNAcentral describes it as "partial small subunit ribosomal RNA". The record is from RNAcentral. Lineage: Eukaryota; Viridiplantae; Streptophyta; Magnoliopsida; Poales; Poaceae.
AUGGGACUGUCGACCAUCGACGAAGGCGAACAACCUGACGGCCAGGACGAAGAAGGCUGCCAUUGCCCUUGGCCUCCUGCAGCCACGCUGCCACCCCCUCCACCUCCGGCGGCCGACGAAGGCACGAAUUCAGACGGAACUAGGAGCGAGGCCGACAUGCUCGAGGAUAUGCUCGCAAGUGAGCAAAUGAAUGAUGAUGCGGCCGAUUUCAUGGAACAAUUGAAUGUAAGCCACACACUCGGCCUUGAUGACAUUGCCAUGUCAAUGUCAUAUACCCAAGAGAUGAUGAGAAAUGCCGAGGGGUGGAGGAGGUCAAGGGGGCGGAAGGGUCAAGGAUACCCAAACAUAAAAAAAGAGCAGUUGGUCGUGCAACUACAAGACCAGGAAGACAAAGCUUUUUUGUGA